UUCUUUUUCCCAAAAUCGAUUCCCCCUAUCCCCAGAAAUCUCUUCUUCUUUUUUCCCCAUUUUAUUUAUCCCAAACCAUUUCUCCCCUACCUCGAUUCCCUUUAUUUUUCCCCCAAAUUUCCCCAAAUCGGCAGCCCUCUGCAUCUCCUCAAAAGGUACAGAUUCAUGGAGACCUUACGGAUAUCCCACGCCACCACAAUCUGCAUCCCCUCAAAAGGAAGAGAAAUUUGGAUUCUCAAGAAACUAUUUCUUAGCAAAAGAAAUGGGCAGUGCUGAGAAGAAAUCUGCUCGUAAACUCAGUGAUAUCAACGUCAUUAACGAACAGAUGUGGUUUUGGUAUUCUAAUGUAUGGAUUUGGAUCAAAGAAAUCAUUGAUUGAAGAUUUUGCUUCAAUCGCUUUGCCAGAGCAUUCUGUUGUUGUAAUUAAUGGUUACCUUCAAUAAAUCAAUAUAAAAUAGGUGUUGUUUUCAUCACAUAACAUUUAAGGGACCAAGUUAGUUCCUAUCGUAUUAAAAAGAAUCAAAAUAUGGCCAAAUUGGAAAAUGGACUAUUUGAUUCUUUUUAUAGGAUAGGGACU
Gossypium raimondii (Peruvian cotton) is the source of this 577-nucleotide long non-coding RNA. RefSeq lists it as uncharacterized. NCBI's taxonomy places the organism in Eukaryota, Viridiplantae, Streptophyta, Magnoliopsida, Malvales, Malvaceae. The record is from RefSeq and is a predicted model, not a curated record. The transcript has 3 exons.